Molecule: ribosomal RNA, 253 nt
Filed under: uncultured bacterium
Lineage: Bacteria
Description: partial 16S ribosomal RNA
Rfam family: Bacterial small subunit ribosomal RNA
Source: RNAcentral
UACGUAGGGUGCAAGCGUUGUCCGGAAUUAUUGGGCGUAAAGAGCUCGUAGGCGGUCUGUCGCGUCGGCUGUGAAAACUCGGGGCUCAACCCCGAGCCUGCAGUCGAUACGGGCAGACUAGAGUGCUGUAGGGGAGACUGGAAUUCCUGGUGUAGCGGUGAAAUGCGCAGAUAUCAGGAGGAACACCGGUGGCGAAGGCGGGUCUCUGGGCAGUAACUGACGCUGAGGCGCGAAAGCGUGGGGAGCAAACAGG